CCUGCCAUGUCACCACUGACACCCUCCCCUGCCAUGUCACCACUGGCAUCCUACCCCUGCCAUGUCACCACUGGCACCCUACCCCUGCCAUGUCACCACUGGCAUCCUACCCCUGCCAUGUCACCACUGGCACCUUACCCCUGCCAUGUCACCACUGGCACCUUACCCCUGCCAUGUCACCACUGGCACCUUACCCCUGCCACGUCACCACUGGCACCCUACCCCUGCCAUUGAAGGAUACCAGGUCAUGGAGCUGAAGGAACAAGGAAGUGUAGGGAGCGCUGAAAUCAGAUCCAUUGGCACAGGACUGGGGACUGUCAUCAUUUUGGGAUUAGAGUGAUUCACCACAUAUGCGGUUAGUUUAUCUUCAAAACAUGACACUAACAAAAUAAGUAGGUGGAGGAAUCUUGGUAUGAUGGGAUAGAUGAAGGCUCUUGUUUUUGUUAAAUCUGGGUGGGGGGGGGGGAUUACUUAGUCUCCUUCCAGUCACAGCUUUUAAUUUGGGACUGGAGUCACCAAGCCUUUCAUGCUGUGUGAAUGCACCUUAAUUUCAUACCAUGUGUUUCAUACCAGUUGCUUCCGUCCUUUUGUUUGGUUUUGAAUGGGCUAGAAAAUCACUUCAUUGCAUCAGAUGUUCAGAGCAGUGAUGGUAUCUGCAUUAACCUCACUCAGGAUUUGGUGCUUGGAGUCUACCUAAGCCAGCCCACUGUCUCAGAAAUGUUCAGUGCUGGUUACCCAUGUAAGUGUGCAAUGUGUUCAUUAAAAAUGGACUAAACACA
This is a long non-coding RNA of Brienomyrus brachyistius, 779 nucleotides long. RefSeq lists it as uncharacterized. The record is from RefSeq and is a predicted model, not a curated record. The transcript is spliced from 2 exons. Lineage: Eukaryota; Metazoa; Chordata; Actinopteri; Osteoglossiformes; Mormyridae.